CCCUAUUGCAUUGUGUCUGACUGAUUUUCAGAGCACCUUCGCUGUUUCUCCCUCUCAUUCUCUUUCUGUAAAAUAUCUAGACAGGAAGGAGGUGGCUGCAGAAGCUGAACAAACAAUCUCAUGUUCUGGCUGCAAUGUCAUCGUUCUCUCCCUAUUCUAGGGGGGUGAAGUUACCCAGGAAGGGAUGCAGAGGAGCUGAAAAAGAAGGGGGGUGUUUCUCCAGAGGCUGCUGCGGUCAGGGGCAGGGACUGCCACCAGAUGUGCCUGCCUUUCUGGGCUUUGACUCGAAAGAGACAGCAGGAGAAAAAAUUGAGAGACAAAAGCCUCGGUUAAAUGAUCAUUUUCUUUAUUUAAUAUGGCAGCAGACACUCUCUGCAUAGGAUCAGCGUGCCGAGCAUGAAGUGGACUUUCCUACUUGCCUGACAGGAGUCAGGCAGAUCCCUGUUUGCUAAAUGAGCAUCCAAGAUGUACUUGCUGAGUAUCCUCCUGAGGAAUCCGGCUCUUCUCCAGUCCGUCAGAAGACAUCAGAGUCCUCGUGUCCUGCGCCUGUGCAAAAGCUGUUUUAUUUACAUGGUGGCUUACACUUAAUGAAUUAUGAGUGUUGAACACUCCUGUAUCAUUGGGAUGAAGCCUACUUAACCACAGCGGAUAUAAUUUUUGAUGUGCUCCUGGAUUUAGUGUAAUGAACUUUGAUACUUUGCUGAAUAGACAUGGAGAGAGUGAACACCCUGUAUUGUUCCUGGUCUCAGUGUGUGCCGUGCUGACAGCCCCUCUACAUCAGCAUUUGAUGGCAAGCAGAAUAAGAAAUUGGGGAGCACUGAGAUGCUUUCGGACCUGAAUUUGAUUCCCCAGAGCUACACUGGGGAACGAGGGAACUGCUGCUGCAUCCUGUUCUCCACCUCCACGGGAGCAUCUGGCCCCGUGAAAACAGAAACUACACACAGAAGUAAGACAACAUUGCCACCAUGCCAUCCAGAGGAAGAUCCAGAAACUGUGUGGCCAUGUGAGCUAUGGCUAGCACUGCCAGCAUGCAGGAGGCCUCUGAAAUGCUAGAAGCAAGAAUCACCAUACGAUCAACUUCAACAAAUACAAUCCAGGUUGCUUUGGGAAAGUUAGAAUGAAGCAUCACAACUUAUGGAGGAAAUGGAUCUUCUGUCCAACUUUGGUCAAUGAGCUGAAGCAAACAAACAAACAAGCAAAACUGGAGCUGCUUUCAUCAUUUGUAUUGUGCAGUUGGGCUACUGCAAAGUUCUGGGGAAGGAAAAAUCUCCUUGCACAGCCUGUCAUCAUGAAGGCAAAUUCUUCAGCAGCAGAGAUGAAGAGAAGAUUAAUGGUGUUGGAGGUGUCUGUGUUCUCAUGGUUUGAAGCCACCUAGGGAGGUUCAUUAAAUGCUAGCAUUAAAAACAAGCAAAUAAAUAAAGAACCAAACAACAACAUCAACAACAAAAGCUUACUACUUUCCUUAAUCGGUAAUGUUGGCAUUAUUUUAGAUUUUCCCUUGCCGUCGAAUAUAUAUUUCCAUUUGUCUUUCUAAAUGAGGAUUGAUCAUCUUACCCCAGGUCCGCUUUCUUGAUUAUCUUCUUUAGGUGUAUAGAUUUCAUUAUGUUUAUCAUAUCUUGUAGGUCUAUAUAAGUGAGUAUAUCCCAUGUUUGUCUUUCAUCUUCUGGGAUAUUUCACUCAGAGACAAAUGGGAUGUGAACUGAACAUAUGACAGGAGUCUACCGCAGAAAGCAUCUGAAAGACUCUACCUAGCAGUGUAUCAAAGCAGAUACUAAGACUCAUGACCAAACCUUUGGCAGAGUACAGGGAAUCAUAGGAAAGAAGGGGAGUUAGUAUGACGUGGAAAGGACAGGAGCUCCACAAGGACCAAAUAUAUCUGGGCACAGGGGUCUUUUCUGAGACUGACACUCCACCAAGGACCAUGUAUGGAUAUAACCUAGAACCUCUGCUCGGAUGUGGCACGUGGUAGCUCAAUAACCAAUUGGUUUCCCAUAGUGAGGGGAACAGGGACUAUUUCUGACAGGAACUCAAUGGCAGGCUCUUUGGUCUCCCCACCCCCCAAGGGAGGAGCAGUCCUGCUAGGCCACAGAGGAGGACUUUGCAGCCAGUCCUGAAGAGACCUGAUAAACUAGGGUCAGAUGAAAGGGGAGGAGGUCCUCCCCAAUCAGUGUACUUGGAAAGUGGCAGAGAGGAGAUGAGAGAGGGAGGGUGGGAUUGGGGAGGAAAUGAGGGAGCAGGAUACAGCUGGCAUACAGAGUUAACAAAAUGUAACUAAGAAAAAUAAAAAUUAUAUAUAUAUAUAUAUUUCCAUUUUAAUUUCAAUUUCUGUUAGGAAUAGCAGAAUCUGUAAUACUAUAUGAGAUGAGUAUGUUUGGUUUUUUAAGUUACUGAAUCACUUGUGCCUUGCCCAAUAUCCCGUAAACACUGUUGAAAGGUUUUUUCUGAGACAGUGUUUCUCUUUGUAGCCUUGGCUCUCCUGGACUUGCUUUGUAGAUCACAGUUGCCUUGAACUCACAGAGAUACUCCUGCCUCUGGCUCUCAGAGUGCUGGGAUUAUAAGCAUCACCACUGUGUCCAGCUAAAUUUUUCUGUACUGUUAACUUGGCAGUUUGCAAGCUCUCAAUUGCAUGCCAAGUAAAAGAUGUAAUAAUUCCAGAGGAUAUUUAUGACCAUAUUUUGAAGUUUACCCCAAAAUAUUAGAAAUCAUCAUCAUCAUCAUCACCACCACCACCACCACCAUCGUCAUUGUUAUUGUGUGUAGAUGACCGUGUGUCUGAAGCCCGGGGUCAGCAUUUGAUCCCUUUCCCAGAUGUUCCCCACCUUCACCUUUUGAGUCUGCAGUUUUCUUUCUUUUUCCUUUUUUACAUUUUAUCUGUUAAUAUUUUUAUUUUUAUUUUUUUAAAUUUUUUAUUUUCUUAAUAUUAGUUAAAGUUUAUUAACUUUGUAUCCCAGCUGUAGCCCGUCCCUCAUUCCCUCCCAAUC
Molecule: long non-coding RNA, 2981 nt
Organism: Meriones unguiculatus (Mongolian gerbil)
Lineage: Eukaryota; Metazoa; Chordata; Mammalia; Rodentia; Muridae
Exons: 6
Source: RefSeq, a predicted model, not a curated record